Mastomys coucha (southern multimammate mouse) is the source of this 1503-nucleotide long non-coding RNA. RefSeq lists it as uncharacterized. Lineage: Eukaryota; Metazoa; Chordata; Mammalia; Rodentia; Muridae. The transcript is spliced from 4 exons. The record is from RefSeq and is a predicted model, not a curated record.
AAGAAUGUAAUCACCUUGGCACACAUGGAGAGGACCCAUUGAAGCACUGUCUAUGGGAAAGCAAGUUCUACCCAGCAGGCUUCCAGUAUGCCCAACCCCAAUGGAAACACUAACCCCGGAGGACACAGAGAGUUUUAGGCAAAGACCUGUGAGUUUUCUGGUAUUUUGGGUAAGCCCAUUCCUGAGAUGAGAUGGGCACCUCAGGAAGCCUUAACCUGAUCCAGGAACACUGCCUUGAGUCACAGCCCCAUUCUGAUUCUAUGGUCACCAGGCAACCUUCUCAUUGUGAGCCUGCCUCCCAGGCAGCUCUGCCAACCAGGGAGAAAGCAUUGUUGGUAUAAGGUUUGACCAUUUGAUGACUCUUGGUGGAUUAAUUGUCCCUGAUCAAGACAAAUCUAUUUUAGAUUACCAAAAAUUAACAAAGGGUCUUGCUUGUGUAUUAUUUUAAGUACCAUGAAGUGGUCUCACAGGCGCUGGCUACUCCUGGACAGUGGCUGAAAUGGCCUUCCAAAUAUGGGCCUUCAACUGUACCCUAGAUCUAAGACCCAGGAGCCUGACUCACUUCAAGGAAAAAUAAAAAAAGCCAUUUCCCAAUCAACUUCUUUUGGUGUUUAAGAAGCUACCAGGAAAUUAACUGGAUAAGGGGAAAGCUUGGGAGGCACUAAGGUAUUGCUAUCUAUCAAAGAAGUAUUUGUGUGUACACAUCUACCUUCAAAUAAUCCCCGCCUGAGGAGGAACAACAGUCCAGAGAGGGCUGGAGCUUUUCAGAACUCGUGCUGUUCAACCAGGAGAGGUCAAGACAUGUUUACCUUUUCAGAAUGUUGAAGCUUUAAUGCUGUAGGUGACAAACUUACCUCAACUGAGUGCGAAGGCUCUGUAAUCUCUCUACAAAUAUUGUAUAACACAAAUAGAAAUGAUCAGACUCACAAGGAAAGCAUCCAGUCACGAAAACCAAAGAAAAUGAAAGUAACACAGGAGGAAACAAGAGAUUGUAUAAGAAUCUGGUGGCUGGUGGAGCGGUUUACUGACGCGUCCCUGGAGUGAGGGCCUGCUUCUUAUGUCUUCAGUUCCAAGUCCAUCACAUUUCAUGACCAAAGAUGCCAAGGCAGACACAGACCAUUAAUCCAUCCUCUGCAUCUCCAGCAGCAACAUCUUGAACAGCUUUGCUCAUCUAUUUCACUCCCCUGCUGUACAAGCAUCUCAUCGCCUCUGUACCUACACUGCAACCUGCCUUGGGAAUUCAAGACUUUCCAGAAACAAGGCCUCAGCUUCUCAGAUGGUGUCAUUUCCUCCUGCCAAGCAGCCCCCCUGAGCAGCCUUUGGGCUUUCUUUCCAUUCACAGGAUCCUGCAUAUGGCCGUCCUCCUCCCAGAAGCAGGAGCUCUGUGCCCCGGUGCACUGAAGCCCACAGGACACCUCCUUGUUUGCAGGAUCCACUUUGUCACUUUCCUUUUCUAUGCAAUUGCUGUGCCAUAUUUCAAUAAACAGUGUCUUGCAGCCACCG